GGUGGCUUUGGUGCCCUGCAGAAACUCCAAGGUGCUGUGCCAUCCACCUUGGAGAAAUGAGAAGGCGGCAGCCUCCGACACACAGCUCGCUCUCUAAAACCCUGAUGGAAAAUUCCUCCUACUCUCCACAGCGUGACAGCAGGCACAGCAGGCAGGGACGUGCACCACGUCCUUGAGGAAGAUGAGGCAUUUCUGCAGCUUGAGUCCCUCGAGAGGUGCAGUGGUAGAAUGGUGACAGCGGUGCCCUGCAGGCAGCAGUUGCAGGGCUGCAGGAGGUGCUCACACAGUGCCAGCAGGCGGGCUGAGCCCUGCUCCAUCAGCCUCAGGUUGCUGCACUGGAGGCGCAGGGACCCCAUCACAGCACCGCUGGGUUCGGAGUGUCCACCAGAGAGAAGCUGGAUGGUCCUGUGCCACAGGAAUGUGGAUCUGCACCUUUGGCUGCCCCAGGAGAGACUCAGGAGUGCUGGACUGGGAGGGAUCGCUGCAUCACGGUCCAAAGCUCAGCCACACCUUGCAGUCUCCUUCAGCAAACCCUGAGAUGCUCAUUUGAACCUGGACAAUUUUUUUGUCCCACUGCUCGUAUCAGAAGACUGCUCUGCAGUGUCACUGCUCUGACGUUUGGAAAUGUUCUCCUGAUUUGCAGCCUAACUUUAUUCAUGGCCAGAUUGUAUUCAUGGCACUCGUGCCUAGGCUGUCUGCUAGCUCUUUUCCUUCUUGUAUUUAAGCUGAUGUUAUCUGCUUUUGCUUACCAAUUUGCCCGCUGGCUGGAAUUAUGCAUGGAAAAGAAGUUUCCCAUGCCCUCCAUGUGGUUGUUUUAACCUCUCUAAAGGAGCUAAAUAAUUAUUCUUCAUCUAAGGGUGAUUGAGAGCAGGGCUCAUGGUAUAACAGCACCAUUUAUUUGUAAGGGG
RNAcentral lists this long non-coding RNA (908 nucleotides) under Gallus gallus (chicken). RNAcentral's name for it is "long non-coding RNA NONGGAT009039". Lineage: Eukaryota; Metazoa; Chordata; Aves; Galliformes; Phasianidae. The record is from RNAcentral.